GUGUACAAAUCACCGUCGAGUGUGGGAUUUCAUCUAUGUGCCUGCUGCAGGACCACAUCAUCGUUGAGAGGAAGGAGCAGAAGAUCAACCAGCGAGUCCUCCUGCAUCCUCAAGAAGGUCCUGAUCCAAUUUAUGAAAUAAUUGAACUCCACCGUGAGUCCUCCUGCGUCCUCUACUGUAUCUAUUUUGUUCUUUACAAAACUGAACUCCACCGUGCAACACAUAUAGAUUAUGGUGUAGUUUUUGGUUUUUCAGUUUAGCCCUAGUCUUUACAAAAUCCUAGGUCCGCCUUUAAAGGUGUGUCAAUCCAA
This 311-nucleotide long non-coding RNA is filed under the name Sorghum bicolor (sorghum). RNAcentral's name for it is "long non-coding RNA (SBIC_LNC009677)". The record is from RNAcentral. Lineage: Eukaryota; Viridiplantae; Streptophyta; Magnoliopsida; Poales; Poaceae.